RNAcentral lists this transfer RNA (72 nucleotides) under Camelus bactrianus (Bactrian camel). It matches the Rfam family "tRNA". From Rfam's summary of the family: Transfer RNA (tRNA) molecules are approximately 80 nucleotides in length. Their secondary structure includes four short double-helical elements and three loops (D, anti-codon, and T loops). Lineage: Eukaryota; Metazoa; Chordata; Mammalia; Artiodactyla; Camelidae. The record is from Rfam by way of RNAcentral. RNAcentral also lists the same sequence under 1 other name.
GAGGGUAUAGCUCAGUGGUAGAGCGUGUGCUUAGGAUGCACGAGGUCCUGGAUUCCACCCCCAGUCCCUCCA